This 1308-nucleotide long non-coding RNA is filed under the name Brassica napus (rape). RNAcentral describes it as "long non-coding RNA (BNAP_LNC023221)". Lineage: Eukaryota; Viridiplantae; Streptophyta; Magnoliopsida; Brassicales; Brassicaceae. The record is from RNAcentral.
UACAUAUCCAAACUAUUAUUUGAUGUUUUAAAAACAUUUAUAAAAUAUUGACUUUAGUUUGUAUAUUUUUAUUUUCAUAGUUAAUAUAUUAUUAUAUAAUAAAAUUAAUUCAUUUAUUAAUCCGCGGUCGAUCUAGUGACCCAAUGACCCGGUAAGUCGUCCGGUUCAGUGUCCAUUCGGUUUUCAAAACAGUGGGUUCCGAGGUAGUUUGUAUUUAUAAUAGGAGAGUUUUAUAGUCGAUGUAGGUUAAGAUAAGUUAUGAUAGAAUAUAUUGUAAUCAAUGUAGGUUAUCGAAAAUCUUGGUAAAAAAUAUAAGUAGGAUCGAUUAGAUAUUUUGGUUGAUAGAAUUAAGGUAAAUUAUGUAAUUGGCCGUACUAAAUAAACUUGCAGAGGAAGUCAUCAGAACUUUAAGUGUUUUUGGGUUAGAUAAUAGUAAUAUUUAUUAACAAAAAAAAUCUAAAAAUAUAUCCACUUAACAUAUUCACAAUAUCUUCUUUAGGCUUACAUAGUUUGUUAACUUAAAUUUUAAAUUUUAAAUAUGUGAUUAGCAACAAAGCUUAUCGUUUAAAACUGUAAAUUGAAGUUAAUCUUUAAAAAUGUGAUUAGCAACGUUGGUAACAAAAUAUUGUACGAUGGUGAUGUAUUUGAAGUUAAUUGUAUAUAUUAUGUAAAUACUAUCUGAUGAAUAUUGUGGUAUGUAUAGGCUAUUGUGUUUUUAAGUUUUUUUAUACAGACAUGAUUGAUAUUUUAAUAAGUAAUAUUGAAUAAUGUGUUGACAUAUAUACCAUUUUUCACUCGGGAAGAGAAGACAUGUAAAGACAGUGUGAAACAUCCAAGAAGGUUUUUCAUUUUAACAAACAAAAGUUGCACGAUGGCAGGAUAAAGAUGUGAUGAAUAAUGUGGUAUCAUCGUAUAACCUAUAGUGUCUUAGGUCUUUAAUACAAAUCAUGUUUGAAGUGUAAUUUUCGUAUUAAUUUAAUAAGUAUAAUAUGUUACAGGUUUAGAAAUAGCUGGUGGGUCAUAUAAUCGAAGUUAGUUUUGGUACAAAGGUCUACUGUUAGUUUCAUAACUAUAAUAUGUCACGGUUCAAAAAUAGUGUGUGGCUCUUAUAAUUUAUUUUGUUUUGGUACGAUGGUUUACUAAUCCAUUAAACGGUUUAGAAUUAUAAUAAUGUAACCAGUCUGGUAGUUUGAGUAAAAAAGCGGACACAUCUUGUCACAUAUUGUUAUAAUAUAGAAGGUAAGACCAAAAAAAUGAAAAAAAGAAAGGGUCCAAAAUGACUUUCAUAGGUAGAUUUAUUAAAACUCC